CACCAUCUGUCGCUACUACCGAUUGAAUGAUUUAGUGAGGUCUUUGGACAGGUUCUCGAAGCGGCUUUCGGGUCGCGUCAGAAUGCUGGAAAGAUGACCAAACUUGAUCAUUUAGAGGAAGUUAAAAUCAUAACAAGGUUUCCGUAGGUGAACCUGCAGAAG
Molecule: non-coding RNA, 162 nt
Filed under: Stegodyphus mimosarum
Lineage: Eukaryota; Metazoa; Arthropoda; Arachnida; Araneae; Eresidae
Description: eukaryotic small subunit ribosomal RNA
Rfam family: Eukaryotic small subunit ribosomal RNA
Source: Rfam by way of RNAcentral